CUGUGAAUGACUGGAUCCAUUCUGGACACUGUUUAGCUGACAAUUCACCAAGACUCAGUACGAUAAUGUAACAAGUCAACUGUUUCAGUUAUCCAGAUGAUCAUAGGAUUUUACAAAAGUCUACAAAUGGUUUUUUUGUCACAGUAAUGAUCUUUCUUUUUUCAAUUUGACAUUUAAUACAUUGUAUUAAUAAGCUGCAAAUAUUAAAAAAAUUAUAUAUCAUAAAAAAACCCACAUAAAUAUUAGUGAAAUAAUGCAUGGCAAAUUUAAAACAGAUCAUGUUCUCUGAUAUAUCAUGUCUUUGUGACAUCUGGAUUGAGUAAAAAGAUGAUCUGUCCUUGGUGAGCAACUCUAGUAUACCUUAAUAUAUCACAGGUACAAGCCCCUAUAUACUACAGGUACAAGCCCAAUAUACUACAGGUACAAGCCCCUAUAUACUACAGGUACAAGCCCGGAUAUACUACAGGUACAAGCCCGGAUAUACUACAGGUACAAGCCCGGAUAUACUACAGGUACAAGCCCGGAUAUACUACAGGUACAAGCCCCAAUAUACUACAGGUACAAGCCCCUAUAUACUACAGGUACAAGCCCGGAUAUACUACAGUAUAUACUACAGGUACAAGCCCGGAUAUACUACAGGUACAAGCCCGGAUAUACUACAGGUACAAGCCCCAAUAUACUACAGGUACAAGCCCCAAUAUACUACAGGUACAAGCCCCUAUAUACUACAGGUACAAGCCCGGAUAUACUACAGGUACAAGCCCGGAUAUACUACAGGUACAAGCCCGGAUAUACUACAGGUACAAGCCCCGAUAUACUACAGGUACAAGCCCGGAUAUACUACAGGUACAAGCCCCAAUAUACUACAGACACAAGCCCCAAUAUACUACAGACACAAGCCCAAUAUACUACAGAUACAAGCCCCAAUAUACUACAGAUACAAGCCCCAAUAUACCACAGAUACAAGCCCAAUAUACUAUAGGUACAAGCCCAAAUAUACUGUGUAUGUGCCAAGACAGGACCUGUCCAUGCACAGACCCCCAGACAGUUGACAUGGACACUCCGACUGUCUAUGGAGACGGUCACCCGAGGGACAUGCUCCCAGUGUACUCCUACAUGCCACAUCUAUACACCAGCUCCCACUGACAUGACUCUCUAUACAACACCCUUGUAUACAACAGGCAGGAAUGUGGCAUUCAGCAGUAUUGGGGUGGGUAAAGGGUGAGUAAUGACAGGCAUCAGAUCAGUCAUGAAAUUAUGUCAACAGCAGUCAGAUAAGUGCUGGGGUGGCUGGAGUGGAGAGGAGACAAGAAUUAGAGGGUGGAGCAGUGAUCGGGACGUCUAGACGAGAUGGCUUUAGGGCUUGUCUCUGGAGGAGGAACUGGGUGGGGUGUUGGUUCUUCUAUCAUGGAUUGUUCACUACACUUCAUUUGAAGUAUUGAUGCUCUUACAGUGGGACAGUAAUCAAACAGAAUGGUCCAUAUAUAUCAUAUCAUUCAGCUAUUUAUUAAUCAUAAUAUUUUUCAUCCAACCAUAUAUUGACAAUAUAUUAUCAUAAUAUUCACUUAGCUUUUCUAUUCUUUCCAGUUUAAACAUUAUUUUUAUUUCUAAUUAUUUUUUGUACUUUUAAAUGUUUUUUAUUCAUUAACUUGUACACAAUCUAAUACAAUGAAAUUCUGAUCUAAUAUUUACAUAUGUUACUUAUUUUCUAAACUUUCUAUUUGAUUUUCUCUUUCUAUUUCAGAUUGGAAUAAGGGUGAAAGAUUUGAUAGGACAGAAGUUAUGUCAGUUUGGGCUAAUUUUAUACAACACUUAAUUUGUAUUUGAGAUUACAAUCAAGUGCAAAGGUCAAAAGGAUAGAGGUUAUAUCAUCUUAUGCUAAUUUUUUAUUUGACUUAUUUUCUAUUUCUGAUUGGAAUAAGGGGCAAAGAUUAACAGGAUAGACGUUAUAAUAGGAUGGGUGUGACAGUGGUGAGGGUUUUUGUCGUGGAUGGACCAGUUGGCUCGAGGGGGUUCCAGCUCAAGGGGUCAGGUGGGUGGGGAUAAGGAUUACCCCCAAGCAGGUGAAGGAGACAAGCCCUCCUAUUCUGCUUUGAUGUGAUACAAGUUCUGAGGGUGAUAGUAACUUGAACCUUCGUCUCGCAUUCUUGACUGACUGAAUACUCUUCAAGAUGAAGGAUGAUUUCCGAAAACACACAAAG
Molecule: long non-coding RNA, 2201 nt
Filed under: Haliotis rufescens (red abalone)
Lineage: Eukaryota; Metazoa; Mollusca; Gastropoda; Lepetellida; Haliotidae
Description: uncharacterized LOC125382116
Source: RNAcentral